GAUGAACGCUAGCUACAGGCUUAACACAUGCAAGUCGAGGGGAAACGACAUCGAAAGCUUGCUUUUGAUGGGCGCCGACCGGCGCACGGGUGAGUAACGCGUAUCCAACCUGCCCAUCACUUGGGAAUAACCUUGCGAAAGUAAGACUAAUACCCAAUGACAUCCCACGAAGACAUCUGAAUGGGAUUAAAGAUUUAUCGGUGAUGGAUGGGGAUGCGUCUGAUUAGCUUGUUGGCGGGGUAACGGCCCACCAAGGCAACGAUCAGUAGGGGUUCUGAGAGGAAGGUCCCCCACAUUGGAACUGAGACACGGUCCAAACUCCUACGGGAGGCAGCAGUGAGGAAUAUUGGUCAAUGGGCGAGAGCCUGAACCAGCCAAGUAGCGUGCAGGAUGACGGCCCUAUGGGUUGUAAACUGCUUUUAUAAGGGAAUAAAGUGGGUCUCGUGAGACUUUUUGCAUGUACCUGAUGAAUAAGGACCGGCUAAUUCCGUG
RNAcentral lists this ribosomal RNA (492 nucleotides) under uncultured bacterium. RNAcentral describes it as "partial 16S ribosomal RNA". It matches the Rfam family "Bacterial small subunit ribosomal RNA", at positions 28 to 507 of the family's 1533-position model. The record is from RNAcentral.